UCAAACGAGAGUUUGAUCCUGGCUCAGAAUCAACGCUGGCGGCGUGCCUAACACAUGCAAGUCGCACGAGAAAGGGGCUUCGGCCCUGAGUAAAGUGGCGCACGGGUGAGUAACACGUGACUAACCUACCCUCGAGUGGGGAAU
RNAcentral lists this ribosomal RNA (144 nucleotides) under Terriglobus roseus. RNAcentral's name for it is "partial 16S ribosomal RNA". It matches the Rfam family "Bacterial small subunit ribosomal RNA", at positions 1 to 144 of the family's 1533-position model. The record is from RNAcentral. Lineage: Bacteria; Pseudomonadati; Acidobacteriota; Terriglobia; Terriglobales; Acidobacteriaceae.